This 253-nucleotide ribosomal RNA is filed under the name uncultured bacterium. Its description in RNAcentral is "partial 16S ribosomal RNA". It matches the Rfam family "Bacterial small subunit ribosomal RNA", at positions 524 to 776 of the family's 1533-position model. The record is from RNAcentral.
UACGUAGGUGGCAAGCGUUGUCCGGAUUUACUGGGCGUAAAGCGAACGCAGGCGGGCCUUUAAGUAGGAAGUGAAAGGUUGGAGCUCAACUCUAACACUGCUCCCUAUACUGGGGGUCUUGAGUGCCGGAGAGGAAGACGGAACUGCAGGUGUAGCGGUGAAAUGCGUUGAUAUCUGCAGGAACACCAAUGGCGAAAGCAGUCUUCUGGACGGAUACUGACGCUCAGGUUCGAAAGCCAAGGUAGCAAACAGG